UCCGUAGGUGGAUCAAUCAGUCAGAGGUGAAAUCCUGCAGCUUAACUGUAGAACUGCCUUUGAUACUGUUGAUCUUGAGUCAUUAUGAAGUGGUUAGAAUGUGUAGUGUAGCGGUGAAAUGCAUAGAUAUUACACAGAAUACCGAUUGCGAAGGCAGAUAACUAAUAAUGUACUGACACUGAGGGACGAAAGCGUGGGGAGCGAACAGGAUUAGAUACCCUGGUAGUCC
RNAcentral lists this ribosomal RNA (229 nucleotides) under uncultured bacterium. RNAcentral describes it as "partial 16S ribosomal RNA". It matches the Rfam family "Bacterial small subunit ribosomal RNA", at positions 568 to 796 of the family's 1533-position model. The record is from RNAcentral.